Molecule: ribosomal RNA, 455 nt
Filed under: uncultured bacterium
Lineage: Bacteria
Description: bacterial SSU rRNA
Rfam family: Bacterial small subunit ribosomal RNA
Source: RNAcentral
ACGACUUCUCUGUGACUCCUACGGGAGGCAGCAGUGGGGAAUAUUGCACAAUGGGCGAAAGCCUGAUGCAGCAACGCCGCGUGAACGAUGAAGGCCUUCGGGUUGUAAAGUUCUUUCUUAGAGAAGAAUCCAUGACGGUAUCUAAGGAAUAAGCCCCGGCUAACUACGUGCCAGCAGCCGCGGUAAUACGUAGGGGGCAAGCGUUAUCCGGAAUCACUGGGCGUAAAGGGAGUGUAGGCGGUCAAGCAAGUCAGAGGUGAAAGGCAUCGGCUCAACCGGUGUAAGCCUUUGAAACUGUUUGACUUGAGUGCAGGAGAGGUAAGUGGAAUUCCUAGUGUAGCGGUGAAAUGCGUAGAUAUUAGGAGGAACACCAGUGGCGAAGGCGACUUACUGGACUGUAACUGACGCUGAGGCUCGAAAGCGUGGGGAGCGAACAGGAUUAGAUACCCUGGUAG